UUUAAAAUCCUUAUAAAAGAGUGCUUAGGGGUGCCUCGGGAGUUUUACCAUCAUUUGGUUACCCUCUAUGUGCAUGCAAGUUGGGCUGCAAGGUUUUACAGGAUUUCUCCCUUUUUGGACUCAGCCAAAAAACAAGGUUUUGUCACCCAGAUUUCACACAGCCCUGAUUUGGAUCAUCUCUUUGAAGCAGCCUCAGUGCAGAACUCUGGCACUGUCCAAAGUUGUCAGCUAGAUCUCAGCUGGCUGGAGCGUCUUCCUCAUACCAGUGAGUUUCUUCUAAAAUCUCCUCUCUACAAAUGGGAGUGGGGGGCAAACUGUACCUCUCCCCCCAACGUGGUCCUGACAUCAGAGCACAAGUAAGCUUCAGAGCCUUCUGAUUGUCCUUGAAGAUAACAACUACUGUAAGUCAAAUAUACCUGUCCAACCUGGCUUUUUUGACAAAUAAAGAAGAUGUUUCUAAAUGGCAAGAUAUAAGCAAUGAUAAACUGCUUUUUGAUUUGUUUGCUCUAAACAUUUUAC
Molecule: long non-coding RNA, 519 nt
Organism: Trachemys scripta elegans
Lineage: Eukaryota; Metazoa; Chordata; Testudines; Emydidae
Exons: 3
Source: RefSeq, a predicted model, not a curated record